CUCAGCAGCCAUAUCACUCUGCAACUCCCAGCUGGCAGCCCACUGAAGCUCAGCAGGUGUGAGCCUGGUCAGUACCUGGAUGGGAGACCUCCUGGGAAAAACUAAGGUUGCUGCUGGAA
RNAcentral lists this ribosomal RNA (119 nucleotides) under Lepisosteus oculatus (spotted gar). Lineage: Eukaryota; Metazoa; Chordata; Actinopteri; Semionotiformes; Lepisosteidae. The record is from RNAcentral.